GAUACGGUCUAGUGGCUAGGAUACCUGGAUUUCACCCAGGAGGCUCCAGUUCAAUUCCUGGUACCG
Non-coding RNA from Dryococelus australis, 66 nucleotides. Lineage: Eukaryota; Metazoa; Arthropoda; Insecta; Phasmatodea; Phasmatidae. The record is from the annotation of a GenBank genome assembly.